GAGUGAGCUGAGUGAACUGAGUGCGCUGUAAACAGCCAUUGUGUCGACUCAGGUGAAGGGGAAGACAAGAAUGUCUCCGAUUAAGCGAUUAAGGUGUUUUGUUGUUGGAUGUAAUAAUGAAUAUAGCAGUCGUCAUUUACUCCCGACAUCUGAGCCGCUGAAGAUGCAGAGGAUUAAAGUUACUUUCUCUUUGAAGUGAAUGCGCCAAUCAUCAAUCUGCAUAAAUGUUAGCGCAAAUCAUUCGUGAUCCAGCUUCAUCUACAGAAGUAAUUCUUGAGAGUUGUCAUGCAAACUGGAUAAAAGAACGUUGCAAAUUCCUGCUUGAAUUCUUCCAGAUUGGACCACACUGUCACGGUGCACACAGCAGGGAGGAACGAGGAACACGCAGACGAGGAGUAACUUCAAAAU
Onychostoma macrolepis is the source of this 408-nucleotide long non-coding RNA. RefSeq lists it as uncharacterized. The record is from RefSeq and is a predicted model, not a curated record. The transcript has 3 exons. Lineage: Eukaryota; Metazoa; Chordata; Actinopteri; Cypriniformes; Cyprinidae.